Molecule: ribosomal RNA, 253 nt
Filed under: uncultured bacterium
Lineage: Bacteria
Description: partial 16S ribosomal RNA
Rfam family: Bacterial small subunit ribosomal RNA
Source: RNAcentral
UACGUAGGGGGCAAGCGUUGUCCGGAAUCAUUGGGCGUAAAGAGCGCGUAGGCGGUCCGGUAAGUCCGCUCUGAAAGUCCGGGGCUCAACCCCGGGAGGCGGGCGGAUACUGCCGGGCUAGAGUCCGGAAGAGGCGAGUGGAAUUCCUGGUGUAGCGGUGAAAUGCGCAGAUAUCAGGAGGAACGCCGAUGGCGAAGGCAGCUCGCUGGGACGGUACUGACGCUGAGGCGCGAAAGCGUGGGGAGCGAACAGG